UAUCUCUCCGUACGGGGAAGGAUGAGAAGCUUCGACUAAGGUUCGAUUCGAGCGAAAGCGAGAAAGCGUUGCCAACGGCAACGACCCGAAGGGCGAAGCGCGCAGCGCUGAGUCAACCUUCCCCCACCACCA
RNAcentral lists this small RNA (132 nucleotides) under Salmonella enterica. RNAcentral describes it as "RtT sRNA". It matches the Rfam family "RtT RNA". Rfam says of the family: This family represents a bacterial cis-regulatory element known as RtT RNA. The exact function of RtT is unknown although it is thought that it may be involved in changing the cellular response in relation to amino acid starvation. RNAcentral also lists the same sequence under 19 other names. The record is from RNAcentral. Lineage: Bacteria; Pseudomonadati; Pseudomonadota; Gammaproteobacteria; Enterobacterales; Enterobacteriaceae.